UGAGGAAUCUUGCGCAAUGGGGGAAACCCUGACGCAGCAACGCCGCGUGAGUGAGGAAGGUCUUCGGAUCGUAAAGCUCUGUCGGGUGGAAAGAAAUGUAUGGGGUUAAUAGCCUUCAUACUUGACGGUACCACCAAAGGAAGCACCGGCUAACUCCGUGCCAGCAGCCGCGGUAAUACGGGGGGUGCAAGCGUUGUUCGGAAUUAUUGGGCGUAAAGAGCGUGUAGGCGGCUUGGCAAGUCAGAAGUGAAAGCCCUGGGCUUAACCCAGGAAGUGCAUUUGAAACUGCCUAGCUCGAGUAGGGGAGAGGGAAGUGGAAUUCCUGGUGUAGAGGUGAAAUUCGUAGAUAUCAGGAGGAACACCGGUGGCGAAGGCGACUUCCUGGCCCUAUACUGACGCUGAGACGCGAGAGCGUGGGUAGCAAACAG
This 428-nucleotide ribosomal RNA is filed under the name uncultured bacterium. Its description in RNAcentral is "bacterial SSU rRNA". It matches the Rfam family "Bacterial small subunit ribosomal RNA", at positions 355 to 775 of the family's 1533-position model. The record is from RNAcentral.